This 73-nucleotide transfer RNA is filed under the name Plagiochila subtropica. Its description in RNAcentral is "tRNA-Met". It matches the Rfam family "tRNA". From Rfam's summary of the family: Transfer RNA (tRNA) molecules are approximately 80 nucleotides in length. Their secondary structure includes four short double-helical elements and three loops (D, anti-codon, and T loops). The record is from RNAcentral. Lineage: Eukaryota; Viridiplantae; Streptophyta; Jungermanniopsida; Jungermanniales; Plagiochilaceae.
GUCGGAAUAGUUUAGUCGGGUAGAACAGCGGGAUCAUAAUUCGCACACGGGGGUUCGAAUCCCUCUUCCGAUA